Molecule: long non-coding RNA, 5729 nt
Organism: Manacus vitellinus (golden-collared manakin)
Lineage: Eukaryota; Metazoa; Chordata; Aves; Passeriformes; Pipridae
Exons: 4
Source: RefSeq, a predicted model, not a curated record
GGCCUGUCCCCGCUCCGCUGGCGGGGCGACGCCGCCGCACCGCCGGAGGGGACGGAGCUGGCAGAGAGAGCUUUAAGCCGCUGCUAAGUACAUGAAGAGCAACGGUUCGUGCCUGGGGUUCGAAACCCUGCGGGAAGCCCGGUGUACUGAGAGAGGCACCUUAGAUGACAUUCCUGACUGGAACAACUGCAGUGUGAAUGGAGAGUUAUCCUCAUAUGACUGCAAGCACGCAAUGCUGAUGUGGAAGUUAAGUGUCCUCAGCCACCCCUUCUCUCCCUGCAGUGAAGUCCCCCUGUGGGUGCAGUGUCCAGGAGUACAGAGCUAUGGCUGCACUGAUGUUGCUCACAGUUGUGUUGCUGUAACCAGGCUGGUACAGUUGUGAGUGCUAGAACAUAUGCCUAAAUAGCUAGAAAACUCUUGGCUAGGAAGAGAAAGUCCUGUUUCACCCCUUGCAUUAUCACUGCAGGGUAGUUGAUGACAGAAAGCAAAGCUUGCUGUGGUCUAUAGAAAUGACACUGACAGUCUGGUAAAUAUGAGUUUCAUCAGACAAAUUUAAUCAGCUACUAUGCCCUGCAGCACUAAAAUGUUAGCUCCCUUUCCCAUCCUGCUCAGUUUGCUCUUCAUUGGCUCUUGUAAGCAGAAAUCAUUACAUUUAGCAAGACAUACCUGCUUUUUUUAAAAAGUGCUUUCUACAUGUUGACUUCAGAUUUUGUACUAGAGGUGUUUGCAUUGCUGAAAUAUUGAAAAAGCAAAUGAAAAGACUAAGAAAAUAUUUUCUGAAAUGUUUAAAAUGUAAUUUUUCCUUAAGAGUCAAUGUUCCACUGAAUAGUUAUGUAACAAUAUUUAAAUGCAGUCUUUUCUUGUUAGGCAUAAGGAAUAUAAUGUGAAGCUACAUCAAAAGACGAAAACAUACUACCAUGAAACAAACCCUUGUGUGUCCUGUGAUUCUUAGGAAAUCAUGUUUGGCUGAAAUUUAAUUUAAGUUUUGUUACAAAGUCAAAAGCAAAAAAUUAAAAGUGCGAAGUAGACAUACAUCUCCUCAUGCCUGAAGGUCCACUUCCACAUCUCAGUGUCUUUUAAUAGUGUUAGACCAAGUUCCAGCAGGGAUUCACUCUCUGCUAGAUCUCCAAUCCUCUCAAGAGCAUUAGGCUUAGUGCCAGCAUUCAUUUACUCUUGUAACAGCUUAAAUUAACUCCUGUUACAUUCUAUCUAAACCCUUUCUUACAGAGUAAGAGUUGAGAGCUGGAUUCAGUCACCUAGUCUGAGGGCCACCCAUCAUGCCCGUCCAUCUUUCAGGAUUUCAAGUGCUGCAUAAGCUGGACCGAGGAAGGCGAUGAUCAGCCAUUGCAGCAAGAUAAACUGCCAUUUUGACUCAGAGGAUCUGAGGUCAGUCAGAAGCCUUGAGAAGCUCCAGGAAGCUGGCACCAGUGAAGAGCUGAGGACCAGCAGAGUCUGUAGGUAAUGUGCUGGAAACCAGGGACUAUCCAUGGCAUGAUCUUACCCCAAAUCUACCCAUGACAGCGAUCUGUUACACCUGAUAACAUCUCAGCACCCAAAACAGCCCACUGCUAUUACCAGGCCUGGAUUGACAAAGUGGAAGGCAAGCUUGAGGAAUAAGUAUUGCAUUAUUAUAUUGAAUAAAUGGUAGGCUAGCAGUUGUUGUUACAGAUUAAGUAGGGUCUAAAUGACUUAACACCCAUGGAAUCUCUGCCUGUUGUCUUCUUCUCCUCUUAGUCUACUCUCCACCUUAAUCUCUGUUUUUAUAACCUCUAUUUUAUUGUAAGUAAUAUUGUGUGUAUUCAGCAACUAGGUUUACGUGCUGAUCACCAUAAACUCAACUGCCACUGGUAGUUGGGGAGGUACCAGAAUCCCUCCAGGGAGAGCCACAGGAGACUCUGCUGCUCUGAAAGGUUAGGGUACCUCAUCAGGAACUAGGUAGUACGGCAUCUGUGGAGGGUCACUAGAGGUUGAUUACCUUGUUUUUUGUACCAUGGACUGCAUUAGCCUGAAAUGACUUGUCUAAGAUCUUAAAACAAGGCAGUGACAGAGCUGGAAAUAAUCUCUGAAGGUAAAUGGUAUUUGUAGCAUAUUUUUUACCAUUAUUGCUUUUUUGGGUGGUUUCUGGUUGAUUACUGCAAAUUAAAAAAAUAAAAUAAAAUUUCUGCAUUACUGAACUUUUGGCAUUCACAUUUGAUUUUAAAUCCAAGGAUGUCUGUGUCUGUCUUAUGUCACUACUGAUCCACUUUCUUAAAUCCACCUUACAUGUCCUACAAAAAUGGGUUUAGACCAUAAAAUCAUCUGUCCUGCCUUCUCCUGUGCAUCCCGGAGUUACAAUACUAAUACUGUACAAAACACAACCCUAUUGUCAUAGAGGUAAUAACAUUAGGUGUUAGGGUUGUGAAUACAAAGUGAGAGUUUUUACUGUUUUCUAGCAAAUCAGAGGAAUGGUGAGAUGUUUACUCACAAAAGGUAUCUUGCCUGGUUUCUCCAUACUUGAUACUACACUGGCAGUUAUGAAACUAGAAAUUACUGCUGUGUUUUUACACAAAAGGAGAAAUUCUGCAAGAGAAAAUUUAAUGCAAUUUGGACCACUUUGUAGUCUUCAGAAUCUGCCACAUUUUCCCUGCCACCCAAAUUAUUUAAAUUAUAAGUAGUUUUGCAAGGCUGUUAGUAUUAUUUUCUCAGCUCACCCAAAGUUUUUGCAAGACUUAUUAUCUAUGAUGAAUCACAACAUCUUUUAUUCAUAUAGUUAUAAGUGCAUUAAAUCUGUCAGGUAUAAUUUGCCGCUUUUUCUUCUUUUGAUUCAGCACGCUUUCUGAAAAGAAGCUAAUUUAAUAACUAGAGAAUCUAAGUUUUAUAAUCAAAUUUGUUAUAUUACCAGACCUGAAUUUCAGAGGGGAUAACAUUAAAAAUCUGCUUGAAAAGAGCAGAAUUGCCAGUGGGCAUUGAAUUAGCAGCCUGAAAAUUAUCUAAUAAUGUUGUGAUCAAGAGUGUUAUGAUGAUGAGAGAAGAAAGAAGAAGAAUUCCGUUUGUCUUUAUCUGUAGCUUUUACAUAUUGUGCAAACUGAAACGAAGGUUAGAACCUCAGCCCAAAGCUUCAAUUCAGGGGAAAGAGUGUUCUGGUUUUAGAUUUUUUAGUGAUUUUCAGUGUGCCUAUAUAAUGUGGUGCUGCAACUCUGCCUAGAAAUCUCUGAAUUACUGCUGGAGAAGUAGAUGCUGCUGUUUAUGUGCAUAUACGAGUGCUUGGCACUGUACACUGGGUACCACAUGUAAUCCCAUGAGUUCUGCAUCCAACAAAUUUCUGCUGAAUUCUGGAUGAGGUUUGUGCUUGGAAGGCUUCUGGAUCAAGGUUUCCUGUCAGAAAGUGCUCUAUAAAAGGCCUGCUCAAAACGAACAGAACAAAAACCCAACAAAAGCAAGUCUUUUCCUGUUGCUCACGUUGGUCUCCUCUGACUCUUGGUCCCCCUAACCCUCUUAACCAAGUUUGUGGCACAGAUUGUAUUUUAUUUACAGAUAUAGGUUAAGACAGCCUGUUAUUUUGUGAUCACAUUAGUUUCAUUUGUACUGUGGAGAUUUUUAAUUCCCAAAGGUGCUGCCAGUUUUUGGGUACACAAUUUAAGUUUAAGCAGAGUUUUUGUUUUUCCCAAGGACUUCUACAGACUUUCAGAUAUUUAAAAUAUGAAAUUGUGGUUCUCUUUGAUUCAUCGUCUGUUAAAGAAUGUUGGCUGUACUAAAACUGGCAAUGAGGCUAAACAAGAAUAAAAAAAAGUAUUCCAGAGAACCAAAACAUGGUAGAGUAUUUGUCUUCUGAAGGUAUGUUGCCACUUAGCAAACACUGAGAAUAAUGACCACACAAAUACAAACAAAGAAAAUUCAAAAAAUCUCUGAAAUUUUGCUUAAUAUUGAAAAGCUUAAUUGAAGGAAGAUCUCGUGUUUUGAACAUUUCUAUUGAGCUUUUUGCGCAAAAGAGAUUGUAUGGAUGUGACACAUCAUUGACAGGACACAGUAAGUCAACUGUUCAUCUGGCUCUGCUGUAGCUCCAGACUUGCACAGCUGAGAAUGUUCCCAUCUGGAGGGGAAGGAUGAUAUAUUAACUCCAUGCAUUUCAGAAGAUGUGUGUCCUACAAUGCAGAGGCCUUGAUGCUGAAGGUAGUUUUGACAAAAAAUUUGUGGCACAGGGGCCAUAGCUGAUACAAAGAUACAGGGUUUAGCUCUAGAAUUCCAUAUUCUUUUAGUCUCUGUUUUACACAUAUAGUUCUUUGAGAAAUCUCAUAGUUUAAGGAUGACAAAUUUCUUAAAAAAGUCGAAGAGGAUCAGAUUGUUAGACAAGAACACCUGAAUGAACUUUUCAUGGAAGGGUAGGAACAAGACCAAAUGUCGUAAUACCCAGUGCAAGGUCACUAGGUAUUAAUAUUAUUAAGGGCAAAAUGCUAGAAAUCUGCACCAAAUGCUCAAUGAUUCAGAGCUUGAGGACUCCGUACAUGAAUAUUUCUUGCUUCUGUCAUCAAACAGCCACACCAAAGCAUGACUAAGAUGAAAGGCAAGGCUGCAGUGGAAUUUGAAGCUGAGAUGGCUCCAUACUGAGAGCAGAACUGGAGAUGAGAUCAAAGAUGAUUGAAUUGAGUUGAUUGCACCUUCCUGAAAAGGUAAAGAAGCAGGAAAGUGUAAGAACCUUUCAAUAAUUAUAAGCAAUUAGAGGGAAAAAAACAAACCCCAGAAGAUGAGACGUAAAAACAGCUCACAUGACGUUGCAAUCUCAUAGUUUAUGUUGUCAGCAAAAAGAGGUUGGAUGAAUUUCUGCUGACUCAGCAGUAAUUGCCAUGCGGCAGCAGUCAGUACUGUUGAAAUGCUGGAACUGAAGGGAACCAGCUAGCCUCUAGUGACUGGGAACAGAUGUCCUCCGAAGAGCAUGAGACAGCAUUCUGCAAUGUGAGAGAAAUCUUUGCCUGUCAGUCUAAACUGAUGACUAGUUUGGUGGACUGGGACAAGUAUCUCUCAUGAGAUAGGAAUUUUACCUUUUUCCUUCUUUUGUGUCACUAGAUACCUAGUCUGGUUCUCAGUGGAGGUGUAACAGUCUAUUUUUGUAAAUGCAGCCUAAUGGACUUUAAUUUUUAGCAGUUACAUAUAUUCUAAAUAUCAGCAUUAGGACUAACAGAGGUGCCUGCAUUUGUGGAUAUAUUCAAGGAGUUUAAUGUCAGGAAUAGUUCCUCUCCAUCUUAGUGUGAAUUAAUGUUUUGUAAUGAUCUGGAUGUAACUGACUUUGAGUUGAGCAGUUUAUAUUCCCUGUUGGAUUAAGAAGGGUUAAGCUCAUGCAGUUCUAUACAAUUGAGCAGUUUUAACUGGAGCCACUUGUGUGAAUCUUGCCUCAGGAGGUUUGAGGUAACUGCCUAAUAUUUUUGGCCAGUGGACAGAAGUAGGAUUUGCAUUUUCAGCCUGACAAAGAUGGCUGAAGUAUUGAGGGUCAAAGCAGCCACAGUCAGCCCUGAGUCCCCAAACACACAAUAGCUGCGAGCUAUACGCCCAUGCUACCCACCUAAAGUGAAAGGGAGGAGUCAGACUGCUCUGUGUGAUAGGAAAAGGAGUAAAGACUCUGAUAUCUGUGUUUAAAUGCUGUUCAAAAGAUACAAAAAAUGUAUCAUUUUACCUUCUACUCAGGAAUAGCUUAUCUAAGAACCACUCUUGAAAGGAAUUGCUAGAAAGGCCAGUUACAGGCAGAAUUUAGUACUGAA